Molecule: non-coding RNA, 270 nt
Organism: Paralichthys olivaceus (Japanese flounder)
Lineage: Eukaryota; Metazoa; Chordata; Actinopteri; Pleuronectiformes; Paralichthyidae
Source: RefSeq, a predicted model, not a curated record
GCAGCAGAAGACAGUCCUGUUGAAGAAUAACUCAGCCUUGCAAAAUGUUACUCUGCGUGCAAGAACUCCAGGAAUGCGUGAACGCCCAAGUUCAGCCAUCUACCCUUCUGAUAGCUUCCGACAGUCCCUGCUGGGAUCCCGCCGAGGUCGCUCCAAUCUGUCGCUGUCUAAGAGUGUCUCCACCAACAACAUUUCAGGGACCCUUAUCGAUGGCUCUCCACUGGGGCUGCGCAGGAUCCUGUCCCAGUCCACAGAUUCCCUCAGUUUCAG